RNAcentral lists this ribosomal RNA (466 nucleotides) under uncultured bacterium. Its description in RNAcentral is "partial 16S ribosomal RNA". It matches the Rfam family "Bacterial small subunit ribosomal RNA", at positions 28 to 507 of the family's 1533-position model. The record is from RNAcentral.
GACGAACGCUGGCGGCGCGCCUAACACAUGCAAGUCGAACGAGCGAGAGAGAGCUUGCUUUCUUGAGCGAGCGGCGAACGGGUGAGUAACGCGUGAGGAACCUGCCUCAAAGAGGGGGACAACAGUUGGAAACGACUGCUAAUACCGCAUAAGCCCACGACCCGGCAUCGGGUUGAGGGAAAAGGAGCAAUCCGCUUUGAGAUGGCCUCGCGUCCGAUUAGCUAGUUGGUGAGGUAACGGCCCACCAAGGCGACGAUCGGUAGCCGGACUGAGAGGUUGAACGGCCACAUUGGGACUGAGACACGGCCCAGACUCCUACGGGAAGCAGCAGUGGGGAAUAUUGCACAAUGGGGGAAACCCUGAUGCAGCGACGCCGCGUGGAGGAAGAAGGUCUUCGGAUUGUAAACUCCUGUUGUUGAGGAAGAUAAUGACGGUACUCAACAAGGAAGUGACGGCUAACUACGUG